CCAGUCCAGACAGAAUUAGGUUGUUUGAUUGUUUCUCCCUUUCUCUUACCUUAAUCGCAAAACACGCAGCCUCAUUCCUCAGGUAGAAGACUCAAAGUCGUUUCCCCUUCGUUUUUCAUCACUUCUUCUUCACUUAUCUAAGAUGUAAACUGAUUGCGCAUAAUUGCAUACCUCCGAUUGCACCUCGACUCCUCCGCUACAGCAACUCCGACUACACCUCGAGACCUUGCUUGCAGCAACUUCGCCCCCGGCUCAGUUUGUAGUUUCUAGUUCAAUCGAUACUUUUGGUGGUGGAAACGAUCUUGAAGCAGUUAUAUGAGGAUUUAAGAUGGACUGUGCUUAAGUGUUCAUAUCCAGGGCUCAUCUUCAACAAAAAAUGCAUCAAAGGGCUUAUAUCCAGGUUGAUCCUAUGUCUUCUGCAAGUUCAGGCAUGUUUGUGAACCUUAGUGUUGUUAUCCUUCGAUUGUGCAAGAUAAUUUUAUGAACUUGAUUAUCAUGUUCAUGGCAAGUCUAAAGUACAUAAGGAACCCUUUCUUAAGAGCCAAAAUGGUUGAAGUCUUUAAUUUUUGGAUGCCUCAGAGUGGCUCAUCUUCUGCUACCAGUAUACUUUUUUAGGGGCACCAACUCUCUAUUCAGUAUCUUGUGAAGAAUCUUUUGAAACUCUAUGUUGAUAUCGAGUUUACAGGAUCCCACACUUAGAUUCACAGAUUCACGGUUUCAUAGCUCCAUCACAUAUUCACGGUUACACAGUUUCAUAGAGAUUUACAGUUUGAAAUGUUUGAUGUAAUGGUUGCGUGUAUUAGUCUAAUCUUUAAUGUAAUGAAACAAUAUUUGAUGUUUUCAUUUACUGCUUUUUAUUUACUCUUUUGGUAGUUUUUUAGCUGUUUUGACAGCUUUAAUAUUACAGUUUUUUUAACA
Lactuca sativa (garden lettuce) is the source of this 918-nucleotide long non-coding RNA. RefSeq lists it as uncharacterized. NCBI's taxonomy places the organism in Eukaryota, Viridiplantae, Streptophyta, Magnoliopsida, Asterales, Asteraceae. The record is from RefSeq and is a predicted model, not a curated record.